UUUCGCAAUGCCCGAAAGGGUGACGAAGCGACGCCGCGUGUGGGAAGAAGGCCUUCGGGUUGUAAACCACUGUCGGGAGUUAGGAAAUGCAGGUGCGUUAAUAGCGUUCUUGCUUGACUAAGGCUCCGGAGGAAGCCACGGCUAACUCUGUGCCAGCAGCCGCGGUAAUACAGAGGCGGCAAGCGUUGUUCGGAAUUAUUGGGCGUAAAGAGCACGUAGGCGGCUGUGUAAGUCGGUUGUGAAAGCCUUCCGCUCAACGGGAGAACAGCAUCCGAUACUGAGUGGCUUGAGUGUGGGAGGGGAGAGCGGAACUUCUGGUGGAGCGGUGAAAUGCGUAGAUAUCAGAAGGAACGCCGGCGGCGAAAGCGGCUCUCUGGCCCAUAACUGACGCUGAGUGUGCGAAAGCUAGGGGAGCAAACGGGAUUAGAUACCCCGGUAGUCCUGGCCUUAAACGAUGGGCACUAAGUAGAGGGGUUUU
RNAcentral lists this ribosomal RNA (478 nucleotides) under uncultured anaerobic ammonium-oxidizing bacterium. RNAcentral's name for it is "bacterial SSU rRNA". It matches the Rfam family "Bacterial small subunit ribosomal RNA", at positions 364 to 832 of the family's 1533-position model. The record is from RNAcentral.